Molecule: ribosomal RNA, 494 nt
Filed under: uncultured bacterium
Lineage: Bacteria
Description: partial 16S ribosomal RNA
Rfam family: Bacterial small subunit ribosomal RNA
Source: RNAcentral
GACGAACGCUGGCGGCGUGCUUAACACAUGCAAGUCGAACGGUGAAGCGCCUUCCUUUUUGGUGGGUGUGGAUGAGUGGCGAACGGGUGAGUAACACGUGAGUAACCUGCCCCCUUCUUCUGGAUAACCGCAUGAAAGUGUGGCUAAUACGGGAUAUUCUGGGUCUGUCGCAUGAUGGGUCUGGGAAAGAUAUUGUUUCGGUGGGGGAUGGGCUCGCGGCCUAUCAGCUUGUUGGUGGGGUGAUGGCCUACCAAGGCGGUGACGGGUAGCCGGCCUGAGAGGGUGGACGGUCACACAGGGACUGAGACACGGGCAAGACUCCUACGGGAGGCAGCAGGGGGGAAGAGUGAACAAUGGGCGCAAGCCUGAUGCAGCGACGCCGCGUGAGGGAUGGAGGCCUGCGGGUUGUGAACCUCUUUCGCCAGUGAAGCAGGCCUGCCUCGUUUGUGGGUGGGUUGACGGUAGCUGGAUAAGAAGCGCCGGCUAACUACGUG